GUACACGCUGUGACUAGCAUAUCAAUAAGCGGAGGAAAAGAAACUAACAAGGAUUCCCCUAGUAACGGCGAGUGAAGCGGGAAGAGCUCAAAUUUGAAAUCUUAAAGGGUUUCCCUUUACGAAUUGUAGUUUAAAGAAGUGUUUUCUGUUGAGGUUUUGGUAAAAGUUCUUUGGAAUAGGACAUCACAGAGGGUGAGAAUCGCGUAUUUGACCUUUACUUUCAACUUUGUGAUACACUUUCAAAGAGUCGGAUUGUUUGGGAAUGCAGUCCAAAAUGGGUGGUAAAUUUCAUCUAAAGCUAAACAUUGGCGAGAGACCGAUAGCGAACAAGUACCGUGAGGGAAAGAUGAAAAGAACUUUGAAAAGAGAGUUAAACAGUACGUGAAAUUGUCAAAAGGGAAGCGUUUGACACCAGUGUUGUUUUUCUGAAAAUCAAUUAAAGAACUGUUUAUGCUAAGCUGUUUAGACUUUAUCAGCUAUCUGUUUAGUUUUGAGCUUUUCUUUAAUGCACUUUUCAGUUAACAAGUCAACAUCAAUUUCUUUUGCUGUAAAAAAGCUUGAGGAAGGUGGCUUGAGAUUCGUCUUAAGUGUUUAUAGCCUCUUGCCUAUGCAGUCGGAGAGAUUGAGGUCUGCAGCGUAGAUCCUUCGGGGCUAAAUGCAUUUGUGCUAAGUUAUAGCAUUUUAUAGACAACUUGUUGACUAUGAUUUGUCUUGUAGCUUACUCGCUUAUGUUAUUUUACCUACGCUUAGGAUGUUGACACACGCGCGUGCUCGAUGAUAGUCUAUACAUGACUCUGUGCAUAUCAAUAAGCGGAGGAAAAGGCUACCUACGCUUAGGAUGUUGACGCGCGUGUGUGCGUG
RNAcentral lists this ribosomal RNA (861 nucleotides) under uncultured Neocallimastigales. Its description in RNAcentral is "partial large subunit ribosomal RNA". It matches the Rfam family "Eukaryotic large subunit ribosomal RNA", at positions 22 to 639 of the family's 3401-position model. The record is from RNAcentral. Lineage: Eukaryota; Fungi; Neocallimastigomycota; Neocallimastigomycetes; Neocallimastigales.